UACGGAGGGAGCUAGCGUUAUUCGGAAUUACUGGGCGUAAAGCGCACGUAGGCGGCUUUGUAAGUAAGAGGUGAAAGCCUGGAGCUCAACUCCAGAACUGCCUUUUAGACUGCAUCGCUUGAAUCCAGGAGAGGUGAGUGGAAUUCCGAGUGUAGAGGUGAAAUUCGUAGAUAUUCGGAAGAACACCAGUGGCGAAGGCGGCUCACUGGACUGGUAUUGACGCUGAGGUGCGGAAGCGUGGGGAGCAAACAGG
Molecule: ribosomal RNA, 253 nt
Filed under: uncultured bacterium
Lineage: Bacteria
Description: partial 16S ribosomal RNA
Rfam family: Bacterial small subunit ribosomal RNA
Source: RNAcentral